GCUGCGAGUGGGAUUCGCCAUUCCCAGACUCCAGCCACAAACUCCGAUCUCUGCCUUCUUAGAGCAGAGAGGCCAUUCCUCUCCACGUGGUCUCACCUCCCUGCACCCUAACUGAAACCUGGGAGUGAGGGGAAAGAGGAGCUCAGGUCAUGUGCCUCCCGCCUCUCAAGGAUGGCAGCCUUGCGCUGGCUGUAGCAGAAUACCGGAAAAGAUCUGCCUAAGGUGGUUAAUCUGUGUGCGGGCAGGUGGGCUGAUGCAGAACCCCCUGUGGCUGGAGCAGGUCUUCACCGGUCAAGGCACAUCCAGGUUGAUUCCUCUUCUGGAGGCUUCACAAUACCUGCUCCAGGAGUGGCUCAUCCAGUCACAAAGCUCACCUCCUCUCCCUCCUCCAGGAAGAAUUCCAGUGCCAUAUUAUUUCAUUUCCACUCCACAAAUCCAACAUAGUUAAUUGGGUUUGAUAUUAAUGAGCUUGUACAGCUAAAACAUGGAAAUAUAAUAACUACUGUUGAUCGAUCUUUCAGCCCCGUCACGAAGGGCCCUCGUAACUGGACCUCAUGCCAAACAACUCGUUACAAAAAGAGCUAGGGUCUCAGACCACGCAGAAGCUUCAUGAGACCCCUCCUUGUCUGCAUGGACAAGUGGUCGACUCUGGAUCCCAAGAUGUUGCUUCCCAGUUUGGUGGUGAAUCCUCCAUAGUCUGCUAACUGAAAGGCUCAACACUCCAGUGAAGAAGAAACCACAAAUGAUGAACAAAUGUUUUGUCACUCUUUCAGAUUCAGAAAUUUUGCUUGAAAAAAGUCUGAAGAAACUAAUUUAGGAAAGAAACCUCUGCCAAUAACUCUAAAGAGUUUGAAUUGGUUGCCUUUAUUCCUAACACUAUGAUGUUUUGGGAUAGGAACUAGUAGAUGGUAUUUUUUCUUUCCCAUUGGCAGUAUAUCAUUUACAACAGAUGUUCCCGACUCAGGAUAAAAUGUAACUGGCAGCCAGAGUCACCCACCAGCCCCUGAGGAAAGGGCUCAACCUUGAGAACAUCUGGCUGGCUUCAAGAAGGUCACACAAAUACAAGAUGAUGCUGAGGAUAAGACAAGUGGUUUUGAGAGAGGAAAACCUUUAAAAAUAUUUGGAAGAGUCCUGAAGACCAAUAAAAUAAAGACACUGCAAUACUUCAUGGACACCAGAGAGCAAUUUAACACUGAAAUGAAAGCAACAUGUUGCACCUGAACACUGAAAAAAGCCCAUGUGUUAAGAGGAAGAAGAAAUAUGCAAUUCACUGCAAUAAAUAUUGAACCUUUAAAAAACAGAAGGAACAUGAAAACUAAAGGACACUGGGCCACAGCAAAUAAGGUGGCGGCAGCCAUCCCAUAAUGAUUACAUGAUCUCCAUGAUUGUAAAAUGUAUAUGCCACCUGAAUUUAUUCUUAGACCUUCUCUCAAAGAUGUCUGCAUUCAACACAGGCAAUAACUGCAGGUAAUAGUGAAGAAUCCUUCAGGCAUGAUAGAGGAACAGACUAAGUGUGGGAAAAGGAAGAACUAGGCCGGGCGCGGUGGCUCACGCCUGUAAUCCCAGCACUUUGGGAGGCCGAGGCGGGCGGA
This 1592-nucleotide long non-coding RNA is filed under the name Homo sapiens (human). RNAcentral's name for it is "HSALNT0169913". The record is from RNAcentral. Lineage: Eukaryota; Metazoa; Chordata; Mammalia; Primates; Hominidae.